Molecule: RNA transcript, 293 nt
Organism: Aplysia californica (California sea hare)
Lineage: Eukaryota; Metazoa; Mollusca; Gastropoda; Aplysiida; Aplysiidae
Exons: 3
Source: RefSeq, a predicted model, not a curated record
AUGAAGGAAGCUGGUGUGGGACAAGCUUGUCAUCAGUGCCGACUCGAAUCACAGAAACAGGGAGACGUACUAGUACUAUACUAGGGAUAAACAGUGUCAUUGCAUUGUUCGUUCACUGCCAUGGCUCAUUUGGUAGAACACAAAGGUGGAUGCCAUUGCGGUGCUGUGAGAUUCAAGGUCAAAGCCCCAUCUGAUAUCAUCACACUUGAGUGCAGCUGCAGCUACUGCAGAAAGAAAGGUCUUUGUCCGUUCCUGGUGCCCGAAUGCCAUUUCUCUCUGGUCAAGGUGAGAAA